CUUCGGUGAUGACACGAUGACGAGUCAGAAAGGCCACCUCCUGCUCUUGGUGCUGGUCAGUGCCACGUUCUGUGGUCCUGGCCAUCGCUCUUUUGCUGAGGUUUCCUGUUCGUUGGUGAUCUAGAGGCAUUUGUCUGAGAAGG
Small nucleolar RNA from Echinops telfairi (small Madagascar hedgehog), 143 nucleotides. The record is from Ensembl. Lineage: Eukaryota; Metazoa; Chordata; Mammalia; Afrosoricida; Tenrecidae.